This 95-nucleotide transfer RNA is filed under the name Kaistia sp. 32K. RNAcentral's name for it is "tRNA-Ser". Lineage: Bacteria; Pseudomonadati; Pseudomonadota; Alphaproteobacteria; Hyphomicrobiales; Kaistiaceae. The record is from RNAcentral.
CUCCUGGUUUGAGAACGCCCUGAUUUCACCUCUCCCAGAGGGAGAGGUCGACGGCCAAAGGCCGGCGGGUGAGGGGUUGAGCCCUAUCCGGAUGG